AUCAGUCUCUCAUCAGCUCAUCUGUCAUUUUAUUACUGAACCAGUUCUGAAGAGUUUGUCUUCAUAUUUGUGAACUCAAACCAUUGAGGAUGUUUGACAGAUUUUUGUUCUUUUUGUGUUUGUGGCAUCUUGUUGAAGUGGAUGAUGUGUCAGUGAAGAAGGGAGAUUCUGUCACUCUACACAAUGAGCUUGCAAAAGUUAUGUAUAUAAAAUUGAUUCGGUGGAGUUUUGAACGUAGACAUGUAAUAGCUGAGAUCAAUGUAACGGCUGACAGAUUCUCUGUAUAUGAUGAUGUUCCCGACGGGAGAUUCAGAGACAGACUGAAGAUGGACAAACAAACUGGAUCUCUGACCAUCACAAACAUCACAAAUGAACACGCUGGAGAUUAUGAACUAUUGAUGAAUGGUUUAUCUAAGGUUUUCCAUCUCAGUGUCUAUGAAGAAAUAUCAGUGAAGAAGGGAGAUUCAAUCACUCUGAACUCUGAUCUUACUGAAAUAAUGGAUUAUUAUUGGAUUCGGUGGAUGUAUAUGAUUGAAGACAGUUUAAUAGUUGAAAUCUAUAAACGGGCAAACAGAUUCUCUGUA
Molecule: long non-coding RNA, 584 nt
Organism: Carassius auratus (goldfish)
Lineage: Eukaryota; Metazoa; Chordata; Actinopteri; Cypriniformes; Cyprinidae
Exons: 3
Source: RefSeq, a predicted model, not a curated record